CAGUCUUCUCUGCAGACACCAGCCUGGUGUCCUCCUUCAUCCCAGGCUGCCAGGCUAGGCAGGGGACAGCGGCUGCCCUGGUCCUCACAGCCCUGGCUACGGGGCUGGUGACAGCCAGAUCCUCAUGCUUCUGCGACCUGAGCGCUGCCUUCAGACACCUCUCUGCUGGCGUGUUCCUGGGUCCAUGUGAGCUACCUGUUUUGCUCUAAGAUACCCUGGAUGUGACGCUCAGCUCUGUCACUGGCUUCCACAUACCCCCUACUCCUACACCUCAAAAAUCCAUGUUCCCCACGCAUUCAUCUUCAGGAUGGAAGAAGGAAAAGUAUUUUUAAAAGACAAUCUGAAGCUCAUACUGUGACUGCAACAUAAAAUGUGUUCACCUGAGGAGACUGCUUUCAUCGCCAGUGUGUCACAGAUGGUGGAAACCUCAGAAGGCCACAGUCCAGAGUAGGGGCUUAAUGCAAGCUGCUGGAACUGAAUAAAGAAGGUCUCUGAUGGUUCUGGUUUCCUGGGCACCUAGAAUAAGUGUGUCACCAUUUGUCCUGAAGCUGACUUCUCUGAGCUGGAUGGCACCCUGGACAUCAACCAGCCCUUCACCUUCACGUCACACAGGAGGGACACUGGUCCAUAGAGAGGAUGCCUGCUCUGGUCACCAGCUGGAGAGUGGCAGACCUUGGGUACCUGACCUUUGGACUCUGCCACACAGAGCACUUCCUCAGUCCCUCCUGCUGCCCCUGGCAGGGUGGAGCUGGCAGUUCCAGGCUUCUGUGGGUACCAGCGGCCUGUCAAAACGCCAGGAAAGGUCCUCAGGAAAACAAGACAGAAAGCAUAGAACUCGUUUGCUGCCCAGCACGCGGGGUGAGCAGAGUGUCAUGAUGAGGCAGUACGGAGGGAACAAGGACGGUCACAGAGACUGGAAACCCAACGGUGGGGAAAGUUGUUCCCGGGCAGCUGAUCCAGGACCGUCCACUUCCAAGCCAGCAGGAGGAUGGAAAAGCAGAAUGGAGGGGAAACAACCUCCUUUGCAGGGCGUGACUCGGAAGUUGGACACAUCAUUUCCAGCCACAUUCCAUGGACCAGAAUUAGCCCUGUGACCAACUCUGGCUGCCAGAAAAUCUGGGAAAUACAGUCUCUGCUUGGGCGAUCAGGCAGGCAGUUAUAUCUUUGGGAACAUCUCUCACCCCCUGGGAACACCUGAGCAGAAACUGAAGGACAUUUAACAGAUUCUCCUUUGUGUCUAAUAAGAAUUGCCCCCAUCAGUCGGGGCUGUCCUAGGUGCUGGGUACAUAGGUCAUCUAUACACAACCCAGCAAUGGAGAGCACACCAUUCCCAGGCUGCAGAUGCAGAAACUGUGGCUCGGAGAGUUAAGCGUCUUGUUCAGAUUCAGUCAGCUGGUAGAUGGCAGGUCUGGGAUUGAGACCCAGGCCUGGCUGGUCCUGCCAGGACACAGUAUCACAGCUUUGACUGGGAGCUUCUUUUUGUUUACAUAUAUUUUUUAUGCUCAAUGUGCAUUCCUUUUGAAAUACACAGAAAAGGGAAAGAAGCCGGAGUCCUGCCUUGUGUAGGAGGGAUAAGUUAGAGGUGUGCACCGGGAUAAAUCUGCCUCCCGCGCUGGCCCUGGCCCUGGCCCUGGCCCUGGCCCUGGCCCUGAUCCUGCUCCUGAUUCUGGUCCUUGGGGCCUGGGCGGCGAUUCCCGGCGCUGGCUGAGCGUCACCGGCCACCAGAGGGCGCUGCCGGGCUACCGGUCCGGUCGCCCGGGGAUCACAGCCUCAGCGGACAGGAAAUGAUCAACAGCUUCUCCUCUCGGAUCCACGUGGACUCAAGGAAUCUCCGGGGGGCAGGACAGGUGCAGAGCCGAGUGCAAAGGUGGAAUUCUAUUCCCAAAGCACAUCCCGCGCCCCUUUCCUCUGCAAAGUCCCGGAACCGCGUGACUCCGGAUGAGUUAUCGGGGCUGGAACCGAGGGUUCAGCCCCCUGCGCCUCUGUGUGUCCCGGUCCCUUUCCUCCAAGUAGACAGGAGGCAUCUCCUCAUCGGCUCAGUUCACAUUCCUCCAGGGGCUCAAAGGGGACCCAGUCCCUGUCUUGGGACACCAAGUCAGGCAGACUCCAGGAGAGAGGAAGGAAGAUGAUUCCCGCGCUCAGGUGGGCGGGUCCUGCUCCCUCUGUUGAAGACCUGAAGACAAAGAUUGACCCUCACCCUUCACCUCCCACCUCUUCCUCACCUUGGAAAAGAAAAACAUUCCUGAGAGGGGGGAUUUGUCAGCAGAAGGCUUUGGGACUAGAACUGCAGCAUCAGCUCUUCCUGGUUCCCCAGCGCCCAGGCCUACCCUGCAGAUGUGGGCUUACUGGCCUCCACGAUCAGUGAGCCGGUUCCUUAAAAUCAACCUCUCUCUCUUCCUCUGUCUCUCCCUCUCUCUCUCUCCCUGUCCACAUCCCAUUGGUUCUGUUUCUCUGGGGAAACCUGACUAAUAAGGGGACUCUCAAGGCCCUGGCUGAGGAUGGCAGGCCUGAAGAUUCUCUGAGGCAUUCAGCAUUGAAUGAGCACCAGCUGGGCGUGGAGCUGUGUCAGGCGCUGGGCACAGGACUCAGCCCCGGAACCAAGUGUGGGCCCACAUGGUGUGGGCCUUUGUCUGUCCCUGUCAUGGCUUUGGACACACGCGUGGCCCAGAGGGGACAACGGAUCUGGGUGGCGAGGUGGGAAAGCUCACCCCAGUAUUCCUCUUGGUGGCAGCAGUCCCUUAAGGGGUCGCCUGAGUCGUGAGACCCACAGGUGUGGACCUCCCCCCCCCCUUCCUCCCCUCUCCCCCAGUGACUUUAUCCAGCACCUGCCCUGCCCAGCCUUGCACAGGUUACCCUGUGACCCACUCACAGGGAGAUAGGGCAGCUUCUUUCUGCCCUCAGGAGCCUUGUUCUCAAGGCAGCUCAUCCAAGAGAAUAACAUACAGUAGAUUGCCACACACAUGACUGUGGCUUAGUCCAGGAAAGCCACUUAUAAAAUCCGGAGGUGAAGGAAGAAAAGAUUGAAAUCUCUGUAACAAAUCCAUUUCCCUCCUCCCUCCCUCCCUUCAUCUCCAAAGUAGACCUGCCCCAGGGCCAGGGAUCCUCUCCCUGCAAGGCUAGGUAACAAGCGGAUUUUUGCUUUUGAGCUUCAAGGUCCUGGCUUCUGGUGGUUUAUAGGUGAUCUUUGAGGGUGGUUUUGACGAGAGGCUUGUUAGCUUCUCUACGCUUUUGAAACGCCCACUCUCCCCACAAGAAUCUGGGACUUUGCAGAACCGGUCCAAGGUGAGAGUAGGAUUAAUUGCCAAAUGAGUUUUCUCAUAAGCCUGGGGUCCAAAGUACAUUGGACAGCCAGCAAAUGCUUAUGAGGGGUUUGAACAAGUGAAAUCAAGGCUCAAGGUCAUAGGACUCAAUGGAGAGUGAGGCAGCUGGGAUCUGGGAUGACCGGCAUGGGCCUCAAAGCAGGGGGCUUGGAAAUAGGCCCUGAAGAGGGGGUCGCUUGCGUGGCUAGGAAGGGGUUGGGGCCCACUAGCAUUUCUCAGAAUGCCUAUUUUCUUCGGCAGUGAGAGCUGGAGGGAGGGAUGGGUUUCUCAGCACAGUUCCAGUAUGAGUGGCUGUCACCACAGGGCGCCAUUGCCAAGUCAGAAAGAAACAAAGCUUAACCGCUGCCUCCUGUCCCCCAUGGUCUGUGAAAGUCUCAUACUGUAGUGCGUCUAAUGGUGGCCCCCCAAAAGAUACAUCUACAUUAUAAUUCCUGGGACCCAGAAAUGUGACCUUAUUUGGAAAAAGGGUCUUUGACCUUAUUUGGAAAAAGCGUCUUUACAAAUGUAAGUGACCUUAUUUGGAAAAAGUGUCUUUACAAAUGUAAUUUACAACAUUGAAUGAGC
This 3884-nucleotide long non-coding RNA is filed under the name Homo sapiens (human). RNAcentral's name for it is "long non-coding RNA NONHSAT186415.1". Lineage: Eukaryota; Metazoa; Chordata; Mammalia; Primates; Hominidae. The record is from RNAcentral.